UCCCUAGUGGUCUAGUGGUUAAGACUCCAUGCUUCCAGUGCAGGGGGCCUGGGUUUGAUCCCUGGUCAGGGAA
This 73-nucleotide transfer RNA is filed under the name Bos taurus (domestic cattle). It matches the Rfam family "tRNA". From Rfam's summary of the family: Transfer RNA (tRNA) molecules are approximately 80 nucleotides in length. Their secondary structure includes four short double-helical elements and three loops (D, anti-codon, and T loops). The record is from Rfam by way of RNAcentral. RNAcentral also lists the same sequence under 5 other names. Lineage: Eukaryota; Metazoa; Chordata; Mammalia; Artiodactyla; Bovidae.